AUGCAAGUCGAACGAGAUCUUCGGAUCUAGUGGCGCACGGGUGCGUAACGCGUGGGAAUCUGCCCUUGGGUUCGGAAUAACUUCGGGAAACUGAAGCUAAUACCGGAUGAUGACGUAAGUCCAAAGAUUUAUCGCCCAAGGAUGAGCCCGCGUAGGAUUAGCUAGUUGGUGAGGUAAAGGCUCACCAAGGCGACGAUCCUUAGCUGGUCUGAGAGGAUGAUCAGCCACACUGGGACUGAGACACGGCCCAGACUCCUACGGGAGGCAGCAGUGGGGAAUAUUGGACAAUGGGCGAAAGCCUGAUCCAGCAAUGCCGCGUGAGUGAUGAAGGCCUUAGGGUUGUAAAGCUCUUUUACCCGGGAUGAUAAUGACAGUACCGGGAGAAUAAGCUCCGGCUAACUCCGUG
RNAcentral lists this ribosomal RNA (406 nucleotides) under uncultured bacterium. RNAcentral describes it as "bacterial SSU rRNA". It matches the Rfam family "Bacterial small subunit ribosomal RNA", at positions 55 to 507 of the family's 1533-position model. The record is from RNAcentral.